Molecule: ribosomal RNA, 253 nt
Filed under: uncultured bacterium
Lineage: Bacteria
Description: partial 16S ribosomal RNA
Rfam family: Bacterial small subunit ribosomal RNA
Source: RNAcentral
UACGUAGGUGACCAGCGUUGUUCGGAAUUACUGGGCGUAAAGGGCGCGUAGGCGGCCUGCUAAGUCGGAUGUGAAAUCCCUCGGCUCAACCGAGGAACUGCAUCCGAUACUGGCGGGCUUGAAUCCGGGAGAGGGAUGUGGAAUUCCAGGUGUAGCGGUGAAAUGCGUAGAUAUCUGGAGGAACACCGGUGGCGAAGGCGGCAUCCUGGACCGGUAUUGACGCUGAGGCGCGAAAGCUAGGGGAGCAAACGGG